This 12891-nucleotide long non-coding RNA is filed under the name Capsicum annuum. Its description in RNAcentral is "long non-coding RNA (CANN_LNC006572)". Lineage: Eukaryota; Viridiplantae; Streptophyta; Magnoliopsida; Solanales; Solanaceae. The record is from RNAcentral.
GCAUGAAAAUAAAUAAACUACACAUAAACUAAGACUGUCUGGAGUCCCGGAGUAGGAGAACUCAUCACCUGCUGGCUGGAAUCUGCAACUGUCUGAUCAUGAUAUGCGGGCUACAAUUAGUACCUACAUUAUGAAACAAAGUAGCCACACAGACGUAUAUGUGGAUUAGUACUUUUGGAAUGUACUGAGUAUGCAGGGAUGAAUGCAAUAAGUAAAAUUGAUUUCAUACAUAAUCAUAAAACAUGCAUGAUAAGUAUAAAUGGACUCACCAAUAGGUUGGAAUAAACUGAAAACUAAAAUAUCUUAAAGCAUGAGUGAAAAACAUUCUUUGAUAAGAUGAUGAAUCUCUACACUUAGUUUCUGUAAAACUUUACUUUAAUGAUGUAAGUAUAACUCAAGUUGGGAUAUGGUAAAACAUGGAUACUGUAUGAAUACUGGGUUUGAAACUACGUGAUGGAGACUGACAAAAAUCAAGGAUCUGAGUAUACAAUCUUACUGAGCACGAAUGCAUAAACAUACUAACUUAUCGGAUUAACUGAAUGACUGAUAGUUGAAUACUGGUCAUGUAAGAUUCAAUUGUCAUGUAAGAUUCAAUUGUACUUAGUCUGAAUAACUGGACUAAGACUAUAGAGUACUAUUCAUAUGAGGUAAGGACUGACUGAGCAGCAUGAGAUAACUGAGCAUAAGUGCAUGUAAACUGUAUUAUCUAAGAAUGCAAGACCAAGCGUAUAACAUAAUUCUGAAAUAGUCUGUAAACUAAGGUACUAAAAUACUGAUAACAAAAUAGAUAAUAACUGUCCUCUAUGGUCAAGCCAACCUGAAACUAAAUUGAGUUCUGAGCUGAAUACUGAAUUGGGACUGUAACUUAGACUGUAACUAAGAUUAACUGAUACUGUAACUAAAGUGUUGAGUACUGAGUUUUGAUAAUUAAGUAAUUGAUAUCUGAGUUUACUGACAACUGUAUUACUGAUAACUAGGUGAUUGUUUCUAAUAGUCUUGAUUCUGUAAAACUACACUGAGUUUUAUAUUGAUGUCUGAAAUUAAAACUGUGGGAGGUAAUCAUUUAACCGACAUGCCCUAAAUAAGAUAACUAGGGUCCAACCUGUAACCCCAGUUGGAAGAGUGUCAAUACCAUGCCCAGGUAAAGACACUGAAAAGUCACCUUCAUCUGGCAGGUGCCCAAAAUGAGAACGGUGGUUCCCUCAACUGGUAAGUUAAAUAACCUCAUCAACCCUCAGUAUGGCAGGUUAAUGUCUCAAACUACUUUGGCUAUGUAGUUCUAGAACACAAUGACUACUUCUAAGGAUCACACCCUCUGCUGGCAGGUGAGUCCCCAUCCUUGGGUUUACUCGAUGUUGAAUCCUACUUCCAACUGAAAUAGACACUGGACUGAUUUCUAAACCAUACUAGGCUGGAUUGAACUGUUACUAAUCAUGUUAACUGACUGAACUGGACUGAGUUCAUUGAGUUCUGAUGGCUGAUUGAAUACACUGAGUUCUGUACUGAUUGAAUACUACUGAUCGUGAUAUUUUUGAGACUAUUAUGUAACUACUAUAGCUCUAUAUCAACAGCUAGAUUUUUGGAUAUUGAAUACCCCCAGGACUCAAUAGCUUCAAUAAUAAGACAUAGCAAAUCUUGAAAGCAUAAAAAUAGUCCAUUGUUUACAAUUCAUACACUGAGACAUUUUGACAAACACUUGGGGAUCAUCUUGAAAUUGACUUAACAAGAUAUGGAAAUUUCAUCAAACAUGUGAAAGGCAUGGACAUAAAACAUGAGAAUAUUGUUAAACAUCAUGAAUCUAGGAUCUAUCAUGGUAUUUACUUGAUUAAAGCAUGGAGACUUAAAUUCAUAGCAUGGGGAGUUCAAAAUCUAGCAUGGGAUCAUACAUGGGCUAAAUUGAAUUAAAAAUAUCAUGAAAACAUGAAAUUCAAUCUUUCUUAAACAUACAAAAUAUCAUAAUACUGGAAAAUUCAUUCUUUAAUUUAAAGAAAAGAGUUUUUGGGCUCCAUCGGUGAAAGAGAACUCAUAGAUGAACUCCCACAUAGCUUAAAGCUUUAGUCUUGAAAGAGAAUUGACUUUUCUUGAACGUUCUUGGAUUGGAAAUAACAAUUUCUUGGUUUUCUUGAAGAAGAGCUUGAAUCUUGUUCUUGGGAGAUGAUCUGUAGAGGAAAUCCUAAUCUUGUUCUUGUGAAUAAAAAGGAUUAGGGGAUUUUAAAACUGAUUUAUAAUGGUUAUAUACGUGAUUUUGAUGAUUAAGUCAUUGAAGGUGAAGCAAAAGUCCAAAAUACCCUUCCAAAAUUGUUAGGGAAUUUCUGAAUUUUAAGGGCGACGACUUGUGCUGAUAAGCCGUCACAUAGUUGACGGCCUAUAAACUUAAAUCGUCACUUAGGAGCUGAAUUUGAUGGGUUUCUGGUUUGGGCAGACGACUUGGCUGAUAAGUCAUCACAUAGUUGAUGGCUUAUUAGUUUAGGUUGUCACUUAGUUGACAGACUGACAUGUUAAAGUAAAAUGGGCAUAACAUUUUACUCCGAUAUCGGAUUAAGGUGAAACAAAAUGCGUUGGAAAGAAAGUUUAAAGACCUUUCAUUUUAUAUAAGGUAGAACACGUAACUCAUUAUGUAAAAGGAGUAAUGGUGGAUUGAAGUUGACCCAAGGGGAAUCUUUUACUAAAACUGUAAGACCCCGUAAAAUUUUAUCCUCGUUAAAGCCUCCAAAAUAAGUCUCAUUAAGUUCAACACUAAGAAUUUUCUACAAGGUGACUCAACACUUAGUUUUAUUUUGGACCCUUAAUCUUCGUUUAAUCAUUUUGUGACCUUCCCAACAUUCGUUUCUAGAGAUUUUUAUUGCGUUGUGAUGGGGCAAGGUUGUCGUACGCCUCGGGUAAGUUUCAAAAUUUUUAGACAAGCUUAAGGCUGUGUUUGGAUUGCAUUUCCAGUAGCUAAAGGUUCUGGAGGGGCGCCUCCCAUCUCUUCCCCCCUCUCUAAGUGGGGCGCCGCCUAGCUCCCUCUCUCUCAAAGUAGGGCGCCGCCCAGGUCUCACCACCUCUCUAUGCAGGGCGUCACCUGCCUAGCGCGCCCGGCCAAAUUUCAGCAACUUCAUCCAUUUAAUCGAUGGCUUUAUGGUAAUUUUCAAUGUCUUAUCCUCCUUAACAUGGGAUUCAAUCCCCAUAACACCAAAUUACACUUCAAAACAUCAAAAAUCCUCAAGAACACCUACAAAGGUUUCAAUAUAAUAAACCCCACAGCUAUAGAUUCAACCGUGGAAACUUUAAUAUUUUUACAUAUUCGGAAUCCCCAUCACGAAGGCUACGUGGGAAACGCAAAAUUUUGUGAAUAGCACUACAUUGUUCGGGAAGUCAUUCUAAAGCUUCAAGUUUAAUGUAUGUGGGGUUAUGAUCAAGAACAUCCUUUCGUUCUUGUGCCCAAAGACACUUUAUUUUACAAAGUUAUGAAUUUUAUAUGUUUUGUUAUGAUUUUGAAGCAUGAAUUCAUAUACUAUGUUGAUUAACAUAAGAUUAUGAUAUUAUUGAUAUUUUAGAAGUUAAAUGAUAUAAGAAAGAUGAUAUUAUGCCUUAUGGGUGAAUUUUCCUGAUUUUGAAGGAAUUUAUACGUGUUUAUGAUGUAAAGUUUGAACUUUGAUAAAUUUUCGUAUGAUAUUGAGGCACGAGUUUUGAAAUCUAAUUGAGAUCAUCAUUUUUGAGAAAUCAUGUAUUAUAAACACUUCAAGUUUGAAUGAUUUGUGAUGAUAAUGAAGCUUUGACCUAUUUGGUCGUAAAAAGGGUGUUUUUGAACCCGAGAUGAGAAAAGAAAUCCACUUUUAUUUAUUUACUUAUCUAUUAUGAAAGGGGUAACAUGAUGGCUCUCAUUGUGAAAUGUUGAACUGUUUAUUAGUAGAUUUUCUUUUGAAAAGAUCUGAACUAAGUCGGGGAGUAGUCUUUAGCACCAAGCGGGAGGUAUAGCAGGAUUUGGUACUUUCCUAGAACUACGUUCACCCAUAGGUUGUGAGCCUGAGGAUGAUUUAUGUAGUGAUCACUAGUGUCUGGAUUGAUGAUUUAAGGUCCUACUCCGAUGUCAAGGAUAGGAUAGCUCUCCCCAAUGUGGGUUAGACGUUGGACUCUAUGUGGCUCACAUGGUUUAUGUCGAUUAUAAGAUCUCCGAGUGUAUGUGUGUACUCUUCUAUCUGAUAUGAAAAUAUAAUUGCUUGAAAUCUUGAGUUGUGAAAAUCAUUAUUUUCGAAAGAUUUAAUGAAUAUAUAUUCUAAAGAGAAUGGUUAUGAGAUCUGAUUACACUGAUGAUUUGAAAUCGAGAUGAAAGGGAUUGAGAUUUAUUAUGAUGACUCACAUGUUUUCACUCGAUGUAUUUUACUCUCUUGUGAUUAUGAUGAUUUUGUUCGAGUUAUGUGAGUCACUUGUUAUAGCAUGCAUGCUUCCUGUGAAUACUUAUGAUAUUUGAUUUUUGAAACUUACAUACACCCCCAUAUACUAGGUCCAUAUUCCAUGGUACUGACCUACGUAUUCGUACGUGGGUUACAUUCUCCCUAUAAUGUAGGUUCAGGUGCUCAGUUCCAGACUUGAUCGAGAUUCUCUGAGCAUAUUAAUCUGCAUUUUCUGCAGUGGUGAGUCCUCAUGAUCCGGGGACUAGUUAUCUAGAUUUCCUAAUUUUCUUUGAGUUAUUUAGUUUAUUUCCUAAGUUUGGGUCAGUUGGGGCUACUUGUAGCCUUAAGCACUGUGUGACGCCCCGGGACCCAUUUUUGGGUUAUUACAAACUUAGCAUCAAAGCCUAAGGUUAUUGGAUUCCUAGGGAGUCUGACAAUCCACAUUAAGUAGAGUCUUGAUCAUUGGUGUGUAGCCAUAUCUAUGAGCAAGAGGCUACGAGAUGUUUUAGGAAGAAGGUCAUUUAUUUCUUUCAGAAGUCCAUCGUGCUUAUAGUAUCUCUCUCCUAUUAAUUUGUGCUCUCUUUUUUUAGAAUAUGCCUCCUCUCCAAGCUAGAAGGAAUAACGCUGGUCAGCAACCUCAGCCUACUGAACCACUAAAUGAAAAUGUAUCCCAUGCCAAAUUCUGGGCAGCCUUUCAGGCGCUGGCCCAAGCUGUUACUGUGAAUGUUUAGGACAAUCCGGCCCCAGUUCUAUAGCAGUAGGUAGGUGAUUCAGCUAUUGCUAAGAUUCAUGGUUUAUGCGGAUGAAUCCGCCAGAAUUCUAUGGGUCCAAGGUAGGUGAGGAUCCACAGUUGUACUUAGAGGAGGUGAGGAAGAUCACACAGGUGAUGCAUAUCUCUGAAGAGCAUAGUGUGGAGUUGGCAGCGUAUCAGUUGAAAGACCUUGCUUAUGAUUAGGUAGUUGCUUGGAGGAAGGGUAGAGGUGAGGGUGUCACCCCUACGACUUGGCAGAAGUUCCAGGAUGUAUUCCUAGAUAAGUUUUUCCCUUUGGAGAUGAGAGAGGAAAAGGUGGAGGAGUUCAUGAACUUACGACAGGGCUCAAUGACUAUUAAAGAGUACUGCUUGAAGUUCAAUCAGUUGGCCAGAUACGCUCCUGACUUGAUUACUGAUAACCGGGCCAGUAUGAGUAAAUUUGUGACAAGAGUGUUGGGUUAUGUAGUUAAGGAGUGUAGAUCAUCUAUGCUUAAUAGUGAGAUGAACCUUUCUCGACUGAUGACACAUACCCAAUAGAUUGAAGCAGACAAGAUCAAAGAGAGGGACAGAACUAGGGGGAAUAAGAAAGCUAGGUUCGAGCAGCAUGGACAUGGUCAGACUAGAUCACAGGAAGGGAAUCACCCUCAGUUUUAGAAUCAUUUAUCUACACCAGCACCAUCAUCUGCUAGUGCUCCCUCUUCUAGGGAUAGGCAGGAGCAAAGUAGUAAGUCAUAUAUGUCCAAGACUCAGUACAGUAUUGAAAAUAAGCCAAAUUAUCCUCUGUGUCCUAAGUGUGGUAGGACCCAUCUGCGUGAGUGUUGGGAUGAGAUGAAAGGUUGCAUUGGGUGUGAUGACAGGGGUCACAAACUUAGAGAGUGCCCACAUUCCAGGCAAGGGCGACGUAAUAAUCGCCCUCAGACUCAGACUGCUAGUGCACCAGCUUAGGUAACUCGCCCAGUCCCAACUCAGGGCGUCUCUUCUAGCACCACUUGCGAUCAGUACCAGAAUUGAUUUUAUACUUUACCAUCUUGCCAAGAGCAGGAGGACUCUCUCGAUGUUAUCACCGGUAUGCUCCGUAUAUUUCAGUUUGACGUUUAUGCAUUGUUGGACACUGGGUACAGUUUUUCAUAUAUUAUACCUCUGGUUGCUUUGAAUUUUGAAAUAAGUCCUGAAAGUAUUCCUAAGCCUAUCUUAGUUUCUACCCCAGUGGGUGAGUCGAUUGUUGCCCAGAAAGUAUCCUGUUACAAUCUUUUAUAGAGUCAUGUUGGCUGACCUGAUUGAGUUAGAAAUGGUGGAUUUUGAUGUCAUUCUGGGUAUAGACUGGCUUCAUUCUUGUUAUGUCUCUAUCAAUUGUCGUGCCCGAGUAGUCAAGUUCUAGUUUCCUGAUAAAUCUGUAUCUGAGUGGUUUGGGAGUUCUAUAUCCCCCAAAAGUCAUUUUAUUUCAUAUCUCAAAGCUAGAAAGCUUAUUUCCAAGGGGUUCAUUUAUCAUUUGGUUAGUGUCAAGGACACUAAGUCUGAGACUCCAACUCUCCAGUCAGUUAGUAUUGUUAAUGAUUUUCCUGAUGUCUUCUCAGAAGAUCUCCUAGGGAUACCUCCUGAUAGAGAGAUAGGGUUGGGGAUCGAUCUUCUUCCUGAUACUCAGCCCAUUUCUAUUCUUCCUUACCGUAUGGCACCUGCAGAACUUGAGGAGUUGAAGAAGCAACCCAAACAUCUUCUAGAUAAGGGUUUCAUAAGGCCCAGUAUUUCUCCUUAGGGUGCUCCUGUGUUAUUUGUGAGAAAGAAAGAUGGUUCCUUACGUAUGUGCAUUGACUAUCUCCAGUUGAAUAAAGUCACUGUUAAAAUAAGUACCCUCUUCCAAUAAUAGAUGACUUUUUGACCAAUUGCAAGGUGCAAGUUACUUCUCAAAGAUAGACCUUAGAUCUGGCUAUCAUCAACUCAAAGUUAGGGAGUGUGAUAUCCCGAAAAUAGCCUUCCGAACUCGCUAUGGUCAUUUUGAGUUUCUUGUUAUGUCCUUUGGGUUAACUAAUACCCCAGCAGCUUUCAUGGAUCUCAUUAAUCGAGUGUUCAGAACAUAUCUUGAUAUGUUUGUCAUAGUGUUUAUAGACGAUAUUCUGGUGUACUCCCGUAGUGAGAAUUAACAUGAAAAUUUACUCUGAAUUGUCUUACAAACCCUUCGAGAUCAUCAAUUAUUUUCCAAAUUCAGCAAGCGUGAGUUUUGGAUAAGGUCAGUUGCUUUUUUGGGUCAUAUUAUUUCUUCCGAGGGUAUUAGAGUUGAUCCCCAAAAGAUCAAAGCUGUUAGAAACUGGCCUAGACCUAUCUCUCCGACUGAUAUCCAAAGUUUCUUGGGUCUAGUUGGCUAUUACCGCCAUUUUGUUGAAGGUUUCUCCUCUAUAGCGUCUUCUAUGAACCGGUGGACCCAAAAGAAAGUGAAGUUCUUGUGGUCCGAUUCUUGUGAGAAGAGUUUUCAGGAGUUCAAGGCUCGGCUCACUUCAGCUCCUGUUUUGUCUUUGCCUGAUGGUGUUGAUGGUAUUGUGGUAUAUUAUGAUGCUUCUAGAGUUGGUUUGGGUUGUGUAUUGAUGUAGAAGGGUAAGGUGAUAGCUUAUGCUUCUAGAUAUUUAAAACCACACGAGAAGAAUAACCCCACCCAUGACCUUGAGUUAGCUGCUGUUGUGUUUGCUUUGAAAAUCUGGAGACACUACUUGUAUGGUGUCCAUGUCGAUGUGUUUACCGAUCAUAAGAGUCUGUAGUAUGUAUUUACCCAGAGGGAGUUAAAUCUUAGACAGAGAAGAUGGUUAGAGCUGUUAAAAGAUAAUGACAUGAGUGUGUUAUACCAUUCGUACAAGGCCAAUGUAGUAGCAGAUGCCCUAAGCAAGGUGUCUAUGGGUAGUGUUUCACAUAUUGAAGAGGGUGAGAAAGAGUUGGCUCGUGAUAUGUACCGUUUGGAUAGACUGGGGUUAGGUUGUUUGACUCUGCUGAAGGUAGUAUAGGGGUCCAGAGUAGUUUUGAAUCCUCCUUAGUUUCAGAAGUAAAGGAGAAGCAAGACUUAGAUGCUAGUUUUCUCAGACUGAAGGAGUCAGUCAAGGAACAAAAGAUGGAGGUUUUCUCCUAAGAGGGAGAUGGUGUGUUGAGAUUGCAGGGUAGAUUGUGUGUCUCGAAUGUUGAUGAUCUGAGACAAAGAACCAUGACUGAAGCGCAUGGGGCGUGAUAUUCUAUUCAUCCUAGUACCACCAAGAUGUACCGCAACUUGCAGGAAAUUUAUUGGUGGAGUGGCAUGAAGAAAGAUAUAGCAGUAUUUAUGGCUAAUUGUGCAACGUGCCAACAGGUUAAGGUAGAACACCAGAGACCUGGCGGUAUGAUACGGGAGUUUAGCAUUCCCGCUUGGAAGUGGGAAGAGAUAAAUAUGGAUUUUAUGACUGGUUUACCUCCUUUUCAAUGCCAUCAUGAUUCUAUUUAGGUUGUGGUUGAUAGAUUGACUAAGUCUGUGCACUUCUUGCCUGUGUAUACUUCCUAUACUGCUGAAGAUUACGUUAGAUUGUACAUCCGAGAGUUAGUCAGAUUGCAUGGAGUUCCCUUGUCUAUCAUUUCAGAUAGGGGUACUCAGUUCACUGCGCAUUUCUGGAGAGCUUUUCAGAAGGGUCUCAGUACCCAGGUACUUUUGAGUUCUGUUUUUCAUCCGCAGACAGAUGGUAAGGCUGAGAGGACCAUCCAGACUUUAGAGAAUAUGUUGAGAGCGUGUGCUCUUGAUUUUAAGGGGAGUUGGGAUAAACAUUUACCGUUGAUAGAGUUUGCUUACAAUAACAGUUAUCACUUUAGUAUUGGCAUGGCCCCGUUUGAGGCUUUGUAUGAGAGGAAAUGUAGGUCACCCAUAGGUUGGUUUGAAGUGGGUGAAGCUGCUGUGAGUGGUCCUGAUUCGGUGUUAGAGGCUAUAGAAAAAUUCAAGUUGAUUAGAGAGAGGCUAAAAAUAGUUCAGAGUCGUCAAAAAUCGUAUGUGGAUGUUAGGAGAAGAGACCUUGAGUUCGAGGUUGGCGACUUGGUGUAUUUGAAAAUUUCGCCCAUGAAAGGGGUGAAGUGAUUCAAAAUGAAGGGAAAGCUUAGUCCCCGCUAUGUUGUCCCUUACAGAGUUCUUAGCCGUGUUGGUAAGUUAGCUUAUAAGGUUGAGUUUCCUUCUGAGUUGUCUGUUGUACAUCUGGAGUUCAAUGUUUCUAUGCUUCAAAAGCAUAUUAACGAUUCUGUGGUAGUGGAUUCUCCUGUGAGUGCUGAAGUUCAGGAUAGUCUUUCCUUUAAUGAGAUCCCUGUUGAGAUCCUUGAUUUCCAAGUCCGAAGACUAAGGAACAAAGAAGUUCCCUUGGUCAAGGUAUUGUGGCAAAACUAAUCUGUUAAGGGUGCAACUUGGGAAACCGAGGCAGAUAUGCGAUCCAAAUACCCGCACCUAUUUUCCGCAACCUCCGAUCAAGACGAAGGUACCAUUUUUCUCUAAAUCAUGUACUUUUUGUUCAAAAUUGCAGCAGUUCAGCUGCUAUUUCUUAUUGUUCAGCUGUUAUUUCAAGAAUUUAUACAUUCUAUGUUGUAUCCGGAGUUUAGAAAGAUGUGGAGAUGAUUUUAAUAAGUGGUCUCAGCGGUAUGCUUUGUUUCCUGUGUACUCUUGGCAUAUCUAGCAUCAUUCGGGGAUGAAUAUGUCCAAGGGGGAGAUAAUGUAAGACGCCAUAAAAUUUCAUCCUCAUUAAAGCCUCCAAAAUAAGUCUCAUUAAGUUCAACACUUAGAAUUUUCUACAAGGUGAUUCAACACUUACUUUUAUUUUGGACCCUUAAUCUUUGUUGAAUCUUUUCUUGACCUUCCCGACGUUUGUUUCUAGAGAUUUUUGUUGCGUUGCAAUGGGGCAAGGUUGUAGUACGCCUCAGGUAAGUUUCAGAAUUUUUAGACGAGCUUAAGACUGUGCUUGGGUUGCAUUUCCAGUAGCUAAAGGUGCUAGAGGGGCGCCGCUCAGAUCUUCCUCCCUCUCUAAGUGGGGCGCCGCCUAGCUCUCCCCCCCUCUCAAAGCAGGGCACCACCCUGGUCUCACCCCCUCUCUAUGCAGGGUGCCGCCUUGUCUAGCGCACCCGACCAAAUUUCAGCAACUUCAUCUGCUUAAUUGAUGGAUUUAUGGUAAUUUUCAAUGUCUUAUCCUCCUUAACAUGGGAUUCAAUCCCCAUAACACCAAAUUACACUUCAAAACAUCAAAAAUCCUCAAGAACACCUACAAGGGUUUCGACUUAAAAACCCCCAUAGCUAGAGAUUCAACCAUGGAAACUUUAAUAUUUUUACACAUUCGGAAUCCCCAUCACGGAGGAUAUAUGGGAAACACAAAAGUUUGUGAAUAGUACUACAUUGUUCGGGAAGUCAUUCUAAAGUUUCAAGUUUGAGGUAUGUGGGGUUAUGAAGAAGAAUAUCCUUUCGUUCUUGUGCCCAAAGACACUUUAUUUUACAAAGUUAUGGAUUUUAUAUGUUUUGCUAUGAUUUUGAAGCAUGAAUUCAUAUACUAUGUUGAUUAUCAUAAGAUUAUGAUAUUAUUGAUAUUUUAGAAGUUGAAUGAUAUGAGAAAGAUGAUAUUUUAUGCCUUAUGGCUUAAUUUUCCUGAUUUUAAAGGAAUUUAUACGUGUUUAUGAUGUAAAGCUUGAACUUUGAGAAAUUUUUGAAUGAUAUUGAGGCAUGAGUUUUGAACUCUAAUUGAGAUUGAGAAAUCAUGUGUUAUAAACACUUUGAGUUUGAAUGAUUUGUGAUGAUAAUGAAGCUUUGACCUAUUUGGUCGUAAAAAAGGGUGUUUUUGAACCCGAGAUGAGAAAAGAAAUCCACUUUUAUUUAUUUACUUAUCUAUUAUGAAAGGGGUAACAUGAUGGCUCCCAUUGUGAAAUAUUGAACUGUUUAUUAGUGAAUUUUCUUUUGAAAAGAUCUGAGCUAAGUCGGGGAGUAGUCUUUAGCACCGAGCGGGAGGUAUAGCAGAAUUUGGUAAUUCCCUAGAACUACGUGCCCCGUAGGUUGUGAGCCUGAGGAUGAUUUACAUAGUGAUCACUAGUGUCUGGAUUGAUGAUUUAAGGUCUUACUCCGAUGGCAAGGAUAGGAUAGCUCUCCACAACGUGGGUUAGACGCUGGACUCCGUGUGGCUCACAUGAUUUAGGUCGUUUAUAAGAUCUCCCUGUGUGUGUGUGUACUCUUCUAUCUGAGAUGAAAAUAUAAUUGCUUGAAAGCUUGAGUUGUGAAAAUCAUUAUUUUCGAAAGAUUUAAUGAAUAGAUAUUCUAAAGAGAAUGGUUAUGAGAUCUGAUUACACUGAUGAUUUGAAAUCGAGAUAAAAGGGGUUGAGAUUUAUUAUGAUGACUCACAUGUUUUCACCCGAUGUAUUUUACUCUCUUGUGAUUAUGAUGAUUUUAUUUGAGCUAUGUGAGUCACUUGUUAUAGCAUGCAUGUUUCCUGUGAAUACUUAUGAUAUUUGAUUUCUGAAACUUGCAUACACCCCUAUAUACUCGGUUCAUAUUCCAUGGUACUGACUCACGUAUUCGUACAUGGGAUACAUUUUCCCUAUAAUAUAGGUUCAGGUGUUCAGUUCCAUACUUGAUCGAGAUUCUCUGAGCAUAUUGAUCUAUAUUUUCUGCAGUGGUGAGUCCUCAUGAUACGGGGACUAGUUAUCCAGAUUUCCUCAUUUACUUUGAGUUGUUCAGUUUAUUUCAUGAGUUCGGGUCAGUUGGGGUUUGUCCCAAUGGCUCAUUGAUAUACAGUUUAGUAGAGGCUUGUAAGGCUAGAUGGUUAGAUCGAUCAGAUUUGUCAGAGAUGUCGCAUUUUGUUACUUUUCGUAUUUCAUUCGUACUGCAGUUUGAUAUCAUGGAGGAUGUUUAGAUAUUUUGACUAUAAUGAUCUUGGUGAUAAGUGAUGAAUGGUAGAAAAAUGGCUCAAAGGGUUAUCUUGGGGCUACUUGUAGCCUUAAGCACCGUGUGACGCCCCGAGACCCAUUUUCGGGGCGUUACAAAAACUUAAUCAAUAGAAGUGCUCACAACUCGUCCUAGAGUUAGAAGGAUAUUAUGACCUUGAUCAAUACCCAAAGAUAUUCCCACUUAAUAUAUUUGAUAAUCACACAACAUAGAAUAAUUAGGUUUAAGUCUGUAUGCGUAGGAAUAACGAUUUAGAUUCUAGCCCGAAAAUGUGGGGUGUUACAGACAUACAUUAAGGUCACGAUCUAAUUGGUCAUGAGUGACACUCAUCCUAACUCUACAGUGGGAGAACCAUCUAACUCAAUCCUUAACCAUCUAAAUUAGAUCUUCACAAGACAUUUUCCUUAAAUACUAAGAUUAAUUCACUAAAACAUAAUGUUAAUCAAUCAAGUUCAAUACUAAAUUAAUAUUUGUCAGCAAAAUAGAAUGCAGAAGUAUAUGUAAUUAUUACAAUUUCGAGGCCUAAAAGUCACCGUACAAGAAUAACUAAACAGUAUUUAGAAUCAAGUCUAAAAUAUAAGUCGAUAUAUUAAAUAAAGAAAAAUUUUAGUUCUGAAACAAAAGACAUAAAUAAUAUGAUAAUGAUCCAAUGGUUGUUCGAACACGGAGCUUACCCUUGAAUUGAUGUCUGAAUCACGAACUAGAAUCGAGAUCUCAUUUCAAAUGCUGAAACAUGCUCCGCACUCAUCAAAAAGAAGAUUACAAGUAGUAUCAAUACAGCAACUAAAUAAUGUUAUGCAUCAUCGAUCGACUCAACUCAACACCAUACAAAUAGGCAAGUUAAAUGCAAGUAACAACGAUCAAAAUAC